This 728-nucleotide ribosomal RNA is filed under the name uncultured bacterium. RNAcentral describes it as "bacterial SSU rRNA". It matches the Rfam family "Archaeal small subunit ribosomal RNA", at positions 535 to 1266 of the family's 1478-position model. The record is from RNAcentral.
AAAUCUUCAGAUAAAGCCUGAAGCUUACUCCAGAAAGUCUGAAGAGACUGCAAGACUUGAGAUCGGGUGAGGUUAAACGUACUUUCAGGGUAGGGGUAAAAUCCUGUAAUCCCGGAAGGACGACCAGUGGCGAAAGCGUUUAACUAGAACGAAUCUGACGGUAAGGAACGAAGGCUAGGGUAGCAAACCGGAUUAGAUACCCGGGUAGUCCUAGCUGUAAACAUUGCCCAUUUGAUGUUGCUUUCCCGUUGAGGGAAGGCAGUGUCGGAGCGAAGGUGUUAAAUGGGCCGCUUGGGAAGUAUGGUCGCAAGACUGAAACUUAAAGGAAUUGGCGGGGGAGCACCGCAACGGGAGGAAUGUGCGGUUUAAUUGGAUUCAACGCCGGAAAACUCACCGGGAACGACCUGUGCAUGAGAGUCAACUUGACGAGCUUACUCGAUAGCAGGAGAGGUGGUGCAUGGCCGUCGUCAGCUCGUACCGUAGGGCGUUCACUUAAGUGUGAUAACGAGCGAGACCCACAUCUUUAAUUGCAAAUGUAUAUGGGAAUAUGCAUGCACUUUAGAGAAACCGCCAGCGCUAAGCUGGAGGAAGGAGUGGUCGACGGCAGGUCAGUACGCCCCGAAUUUCCCGGGCUACACGCGCAUUACAAAGAACGGGACAAUACGUUGCAACCUCGAAAGAGGGAGCCAAUCGCGAAACCCGUCCAUAGUUAGGAUUGAGGGCUGUAC